AACGAACGCUGGCGGCAUGCCUAACACAUGCAAGUCGAACGAGACCUUCGGGUCUUGUGGCGAACGGGUGCGUAACGCGUGGGAACCUUCCCUUAGGUUCGGACUAACUCCCCGAAAGGGGUGCUAAUACCGGAUAAUGUCUUCGGGCCAAUGAUUUAUCGCCUCGGGAUGGGCCCGCGUUGGAUUAGCUAGUUGGUCGGGUAAAAGUCUACCAAGGCGACGAUCCAUAGCUGGUCUGAGAAGAUGAUCAGCCACACUGGGACUGAGACACGGCCCAGACUCCUACGGGAGGCAGCAGUGGGGAAUAAUGGACAAUGGGCGAAAGCCUGAUCCAGCAAUGCCGCGUGAGUGAGGAAGUCCUUAGGGUUGUAAAGCUCUGUUACCCGGGAAGAUAAUGACAGUACCGAGAGAAUAAGCUCCGGCUAACUCCGUG
This 433-nucleotide ribosomal RNA is filed under the name uncultured bacterium. Its description in RNAcentral is "partial 16S ribosomal RNA". It matches the Rfam family "Bacterial small subunit ribosomal RNA", at positions 29 to 507 of the family's 1533-position model. The record is from RNAcentral.